AAAAAAUUUCGGCACAAAAAAAAACUUUUUGUGGUACUGUACAUUUAAAAACACUUAAAUUGAAAAUAUUUUUAAACGAACCUAAACAUGUUAAAAAUGAUUUUAAAUUCGGGCCGAUUUCAAAUGGAAGGGGGAGACAAAAACUUUAAAAAAAUAUAUUUUUGCAACAGCCCAAUUUUUCUGGCAAAUAUUUUUUUUUAAAUCAAAAUUAAAAAAAAUCAGAUUGUUCAUAUCAUUCGAACUUCAAAUAGGUUAGAUUUUGGUAGAAAACAAUCAAUUAAUCAAUUGGUAGUGUUUUCAAACCAAAAUGUAUUGCAGUGCUCCAAAAAAUAUAUUUCGAAGAUAAAAGAGCAGCCUAAUUAUUCUGGCAAAUAUUUUUUUAAAUCAAAAUUUAAAAAAAAAUCAGAUUGUCCAUAUCAUUCGAACUUCCAAUAGGUUAGACUUUGGUAGAAAACAAUUAAUGUUUGGUAGUGUUUUCAAGCCAAAAUGUAUUUCUGUGCUCCAAAAAAUAUAUUUCGAAGAUAAAAAAAGUCACCUCAGAAAAGACAAAACAUUAGAUGUCAGCUACCCAGCGUUUCAUAUAUUCUCUUUCAUAAUACAUCAGAAUCUAAAAAAAAAAUUGUAGUUCCCAUUCAAAAUUUUACUUUUGUGCUUACAAUAUACAUCCAUGUGAGCAUACCUGGUUUCUAUAAUGACGUUGCAAAGGUAAACUCCGACAGUCGGCAUUCAGCGAUAAGUCGACAUCGAUUUGAGUUUGGUGAGAAACGUCAAAGUUGAAUCAAAACAAACGAAAAUAAAAAUGAUAAAAAAGUGUGGGAUCGAACGAAUGAAUUUUUAAAAUUUUGUGUAACCGGCAGAGCAAAAAUAGGAGAAAAUUAUGAAUUGUACCGGUGUGUAAGAUAAAGUUUGAUUGAUUGAAUGAUUUAUGAUCCUGGAUGGACAGGGUCAAGCAGGCAGCGGAUUAGGAAGAGCGCAGUUGGAUGAGAUGAUGGCGGAACUCAUGGACCCGAACGUUUCGUCGAGAAUAUUGAGCGCCUCAAUACGGUUUUGGAGGCCGGAAAUUGUUUCACCCCCAGGUUGUGCGAGAUCUUUUGGCGUUGAUUCCCUCCUUUUUCAAUAGUUAGUGAGAUCAUUUCCCAUUUCAAUAAGCUGAAAAUACACACAUGCUUCAUUCAAAGUUUAGUUUCCUAAAAAUGCUCUUUGCUCUCAUUCACACGCCUGUAGCAUUAUAGAUCAUUGAUAGAUACAUUUUGCCAUGUUGUGUUUCAGCAAUUUCCUCAGCCAGUCAGCGGUGACGACGUCAAGUCUAAUUCUUCUCAGAAGCUGAUAAAAGAUACUGCCUUGUUGUAGAAAAAGAUAAAAGCCUACACCUUAUCCAAAGACCAAACUGACCAAGUCAAAAGCAACUUCCGGUGGGCUCGGGUGAUAGCUGCAAAAGGCUUCCGUUGGCUCGACCUGAUUUCUCAUUUAUGAUUCACUCUGCCGUUGUCGGGCAUUCUACAAUUCAAUCAACGAAAACCCAUGACAAUGGUUUGCCGGUCAUCUUGAGUAAGCAAUAAUCAACAAGAAUUGUGGCUUCCGAGAUGUUUUGCGAGAUUGGUCAUAUGAUUACAGGUUUAGUAGACUUCAAGUGAGUAAGUUUCAGUUUAAAGUAUAACAAAGUCAUAGAAAUCACAAAUUCGCUUUCAGAGUAAAGUUUAAUACUCCGUUCAAUUUAGCAUUUGAUAAAGUUUCAUUUUCUUUAUUUGCCUUACGCAGUUUGGAAUGGUAAACUAAUGUAGAAAAAAGUGAGCCGUUCCAAACCAGGCUAUAAAAGCAUUUGAAAUUUACAUCAUUUUCUGAAUUCAACGGAGCAAAAAAAAAUUUGGCUUUGGUAAAAUUACAUCGAUUUCAUCGGAAAUUUACAAGUUUCUAAAGCAAAGUUCGUCCGCACGAUUACGUCGGAUGGCACUUAAUUUUACAAUGAAGUUCAUGUAAAUUAGCAUCAUUAAUGACGUGCACUUUUGGUACAUCAUUAAUUAUGUAAAUUUACCGAAUUAUUUUUUUCUGUGUACACUAGGGUGCCCAGAAAAAAUUACCCCCUGCUCCACAAGCGGAAAACGGUUUUUUGGGUUGUUUUAAGCAUCUGUGUAAAUUUUGAGCGAAAUUGGAUGAGAUUAAUCCAUUGAAACCCGAGCCCAAAGUUGGCGAAAAAAAUGUUUUUCAUACAAAAAUGACUUUUUUGAAUCGCUAAUAACUUUUCAGGAUCGAGUUUUACAGCUUUGGUAUGUUCUACAAAGUUGUAGAGCAUUAAAUUUUCAAUAAGAAUCUCACUUUUGAGAAUAUUUGGAUAGAAGUACCGCACCGUGCAGACCAAACCGUAAGAAACUUGGGUUUUCCAUACAUUUUUCCAUACAAACUUCACCUCAGAGUAUCAAUGGGUAAAUGAUGACCGAUUUUGCUCAUUUUUUUUUUUUUUUUUUUUUUAAUUAAAUAUACUUUAUUGAAUCUUUCUUAUAAUAAUUACAUUUGGUUUACAUAAUAAGUGGUCAGCUGUGGCUCUUCAGCUUUAAUUUGCUUUUCGUGAUUUAAACACUGUUCAUUUUCAUAACUUUAAAAAUAUAUGAUUUAUCAUUUUUGUAACACUAGGUACAAUGAGGAAAAAAAAAAUGUUAAGAAAACAUAACCUAACCUAAAACUAACUUAAACUUACAAUAAA
Culex pipiens pallens (northern house mosquito) is the source of this 2698-nucleotide long non-coding RNA. RefSeq lists it as uncharacterized. The transcript is spliced from 4 exons. NCBI's taxonomy places the organism in Eukaryota, Metazoa, Arthropoda, Insecta, Diptera, Culicidae. The record is from RefSeq and is a predicted model, not a curated record.